Molecule: ribosomal RNA, 1398 nt
Filed under: metagenome
Description: bacterial LSU rRNA
Rfam family: Bacterial large subunit ribosomal RNA
Source: RNAcentral
AAAAGGAAAGACCGGUGCAAGCGGGACAGUAGCCAUGCAGGCAAAUCCGUGUGGCAAUACGAAGACGUGACGCGGACCGAAAUAAAGUAGGGAAGCAUGUGAGCCAUGUGCCAAGAAAAGCCGCUAUAGAUCAUACCGUACCCGUACCGUAAACCGACACAGGUAGAUGAGGAGAGAAUCCUAAGGCCGACGGGAGAAGCAUUGUUAAGGAACUCGGCAAAAUGACCCCGUAACUUCGGGAGGAGGGGUGCCCACGCGAGUGGGCCGCAGAGAAUAGGCUCAAGCAACUGUUUAGCAAAAACACAGGUCUAUGGAAACCGAAAGGUGAGGUAUAUGGGCUGACGCCUGCCCGGUGCUGGAAGGUUAAGAGGAGGAGUCAGGCAACGAAGCUCCGAAUUUAAGCCCCAGUAAACGGCGGCCGUAACAAUAACGGUCCUAAGGUAGCGAAAUUCCUUGUCGGGUAAUUCCGACCCGCACGAAAGGCGUAAUGAUUUGAGCACUGUCUCGACAAUGCACCCGGUGAAAUUGAAGUACCAGUGAAGAUGCUGGUUACCUGCGCCAGGACGGAAAGACCCCAUGGAGCUUUACUCCAGUUUGAUACUGGGAUUCGAUACUGAAUGUACAGGAUAGGUGGGAGGCUGAGAAGCGUGGACGCCAGUCUGCGGUGAGCCGCUGUUGGGAUACCACCCUUUGAGUAUUGGAUUUCUAACCUGCGCCCGUGGCCCGGGCGGGGGACAAUGUCUGACGGGGAGUUUGACUGGGGCGGUCGCCUCCGAAAGGGUAUCGGAGGCGCUCAAAGGUUCCCUCAGAAUGGUUGGAAACCAUUCGCAGAGUGCAAAGGCAGAAGGGAGCUUGACUGUGACACCGACGGGUGGAGCAGGUACGAAAGUAGGACUUAGUGAUCCGGUGGUAUGAAAGUGGGAUUGCCAUCGCUCAACGGAUAAAAGCUACCCUGGGGAUAACAGGCUUAUCACUCCCAAGAGUUCACAUCGACGGAGUGGUUUGGCACCUCGAUGUCGGCUCAUCGCAUCCUGGGGCUGUAGCAGGUCCCAAGGGUUGGGCUGUUCGCCCAUUAAAGCGGUACGCGAGCUGGGUUCAGAACGUCGUGAGACAGUUUGGUCCCUAUCCGGCGCAGGCGUAGGAUAUUUGAGAGGAGCUGUCCUUAGUACGAGAGGACCGGGAUGGACAGACCGCUGGUGUAUCUGUUGGUGACCAACACCAUGGCAGAGUAGCCAAGUCUGGCAGGGAUAAACGCUGAAGGCAUCUAAGCGUGAAGCCCCCCUCAAGAUGAGAUAUCCCAAUAAGUAAGACCCCUUAGAGAGUAUGAGGUAGAUAGGCUUAAGGUGUAAGCAUAGUAAUAUGUUCAGCUGAUAAGUACUAAUAGGUCGAGGGCUUACC